AUCAUGUCCUUGGUGUUUGCAAAAGGCGCAAUACUUAGGAAGGUUGUCAUAUACAAUGAUUUGCUGGAACUCCACAGAUUUCCCGGAAAUAGAAUCUACAAACUGUAACAUGACCUUUUUUGGGUGUUUAUCCAAAAGGUUCACAAUAACCUUGACUCUUGCUGCGCUUGACCUCGUUCUAUCCUGCGUCGCCUUGUCAAC
RNAcentral lists this long non-coding RNA (201 nucleotides) under Nicotiana benthamiana. RNAcentral describes it as "long non-coding RNA (NBEN_LNC012294)". The record is from RNAcentral. Lineage: Eukaryota; Viridiplantae; Streptophyta; Magnoliopsida; Solanales; Solanaceae.